This 422-nucleotide ribosomal RNA is filed under the name uncultured bacterium. Its description in RNAcentral is "bacterial SSU rRNA". It matches the Rfam family "Bacterial small subunit ribosomal RNA", at positions 355 to 774 of the family's 1533-position model. The record is from RNAcentral.
UGAGGAAUAUUGGUCAAUGGGGGCAACCCUGAACCAGCCAAGUCGCGUGAAGGAUGAAGGUCUUAUGGAUUGUAAACUUCUUUUACACGGGAAUAAAGCGGGGGACGUGUCCCUCUUUGCAUGUACCGUGUGAAUAAGGAUCGGCUAACUCCGUGCCAGCAGCCGCGGUAAUACGGAGGAUCCGAGCGUUAUCCGGAUUUAUUGGGUUUAAAGGGUGCGCAGGCGGGAUGUUAAGUCGGCGGUGAAAUUUUGCAGCUCAACUGUAAAAGUGCCUUCGAUACUGGCCUGCUUGAGUGUGGAUGAAGUAGGCGGAAUUUGUGGUGUAGCGGUGAAAUGCUUAGAUAUCACGAGGAACUCCGAUUGCGCAGGCAGCUUACUAAGCCACAACUGACGCUCAUGCACGGAGGCGUGGGGAUCAAACA